RNAcentral lists this ribosomal RNA (552 nucleotides) under uncultured marine bacterium. Its description in RNAcentral is "bacterial SSU rRNA". It matches the Rfam family "Bacterial small subunit ribosomal RNA", at positions 36 to 636 of the family's 1533-position model. The record is from RNAcentral.
CUGGCGGCAGGCCUAACACAUGCAAGUCGAGCGCACCUUCGGGUGAGCGGCGGACGGGUUAGUAACGCGUGGGAACGUACCCUUUUCUACGGAAUAGCCUUUGGAAACGAAGAGUAAUACCGUAUACGCCCUUUGGGGGAAAGAUUUAUCGGAGAAGGAUCGGCCCGCGUUAGAUUAGAUAGUUGGUGGGGUAACGGCCUACCAAGUCUACGAUCUAUAGCUGGUUUUAGAGGAUGAUCAGCAACACUGGGACUGAGACACGGCCCAGACUCCUACGGGAGGCAGCAGUGGGGAAUCUUAGACAAUGGGCGCAAGCCUGAUCUAGCCAUGCCGCGUGAGUGAUGAAGGCCUUAGGGUCGUAAAGCUCUUUCGCCUGUGAUGAUAAUGACAGUAGCAGGUAAAGAAACCCCGGCUAACUCCGUGCCAGCAGCCGCGGUAAUACGGAGGGGGUUAGCGUUGUUCGGAAUUACUGGGCGUAAAGCGCACGUAGGCGGAUUGGAAAGUUGGGGGUGAAAUCCCGGGGCUCAACCCCGGAACUGCCUCCAAAACUAU